Ribosomal RNA from Pteropus vampyrus (large flying fox), 126 nucleotides. Lineage: Eukaryota; Metazoa; Chordata; Mammalia; Chiroptera; Pteropodidae. The record is from Ensembl.
GUCUACGGCCAUGCUACCCUGAACAAGCCCAAUCCCGUCUGAUCUCAGAAGCUAAACAGGGUCAGGCCUGGUUAGUACUUGGGAGAUGUGUUUGCUGCCACCCAGGAAGACCAGGUGCUGUAGGCG